RNAcentral lists this transfer RNA (71 nucleotides) under Tsuneonella aeria. Its description in RNAcentral is "Altererythrobacter aerius tRNA-Ser". The record is from RNAcentral. Lineage: Bacteria; Pseudomonadati; Pseudomonadota; Alphaproteobacteria; Sphingomonadales; Erythrobacteraceae.
GGCGUUUUACGCGGAGCUCUCUACCAUUCGUAAUGAUGGGGUCACAGGUUCGAGUCCUGUAAGCGGCACCA